Ribosomal RNA from Strongyloides ratti, 119 nucleotides. The record is from Rfam. Lineage: Eukaryota; Metazoa; Nematoda; Chromadorea; Rhabditida; Strongyloididae.
UCUUACGAUCAUAUUCUGUUGAAUGCACUGGAUCCCGUCCGAUCUCCGAAGUGAAUCAGCUGCAAGCUAUUUUAGUACUUGGGUAAAAGACCUCUUGGAAACCGUUAGUUGCAUAAGUC